This 1433-nucleotide ribosomal RNA is filed under the name metagenome. RNAcentral describes it as "bacterial SSU rRNA". It matches the Rfam family "Bacterial small subunit ribosomal RNA". The record is from RNAcentral.
GGCUCAGGAUGAACGCUGGCGGUCUGCUUAACACAUGCAAGUCGAACGGAGUGCUUCGGCACUUAGUGGCGGACGGGUGAGUAACGCGUGAGAAUCUGCCUUCAGGUUGGGGACAACAGUUGGAAACGACUGCUAAUACCCAAUGUGCCGAGAGGUGAAAGCUUUAGUGCCUGAAGAUGAGCUCGCGUCUGAUUAGCUAGUUGGUGGGGUAACGGCUUACCAAGGCGACGAUCAGUAGCUGGUCUGAGAGGAUGAUCAGCCACACUGGGACUGAGACACGGCCCAGACUCCUACGGGAGGCAGCAGUGGGGAAUUUUCCGCAAUGGGCGCAAGCCUGACGGAGCAAGACCGCGUGAGGGAGGAAGGCUCUUGGGUUGUAAACCUCUUUUGUCAGGGAAGAAGAUCUGACGGUACCUGACGAAUCAGCAUCGGCUAACUCCGUGCCAGCAGCCGCGGUAAUACGGGGGAUGCAAGCGUUAUCCGGAAUUAUUGGGCGUAAAGCGUCCGCAGGUGGUUAUCCAAGUCUGCUGUCAAAGCGCGAGGCUUAACUUCGUACAGGCAGUGGAAACUGGAUGACUAGAGUAUGGUAGGGGUAGCGGGAAUUCCCAGUGUAGCGGUGAAAUGCGUAGAUAUUGGGAAGAACACCGGCGGCGAAAGCGCGCUACUGGGCCAUUACUGACACUCAUGGACGAAAGCCAGGGGAGCGAAAGGGAUUAGAUACCCCUGUAGUCCUGGCUGUAAACGAUGGAUACUAGGUGUUGCCCGUAUCGACCCGGGCAGUGCCGUAGCUAACGCGUUAAGUAUCCCGCCUGGGGAGUACGCUCGCAAGUGUGAAACUCAAAGGAAUUGACGGGGGCCCGCACAAGCGGUGGAGUAUGUGGUUUAAUUCGAUGCAACGCGAAGAACCUUACCAGGGCUUGACAUGUCGCGAAUCCCGGUGAAAGUCGGGAGUGCCUUCGGGAGCGCGAACACAGGUGGUGCAUGGCUGUCGUCAGCUCGUGUCGUGAGAUGUUGGGUUAAGUCCCGCAACGAGCGCAACCCUCGUUUCUAGUUGCCAUCAUUGAGUUGGGCACUUUAGAGAGACUGCCGGUGACAAACCGGAGGAAGGUGGGGAUGACGUCAAGUCAGCAUGCCCCUUACGCCCUGGGCUACACACGUACUACAAUGCUACGGACAAAGGGUUGCAAGUUCGCGAGGACAAGCUAAUCCCGUAAACCGUGGCUCAGUUCAGAUUGGAGGCUGCAACUCGCCUCCAUGAAGGCGGAAUCGCUAGUAAUCGCCGGUCAGCAUACGGCGGUGAAUACGUUCCCGGGCCUUGUACACGCCGCCCGUCACACCAUGGGAGUUGGCCACGCCCGAAGUCGUUACUCCAACCGCAAGGAGGAGGAUGCCGAAGGCAGGGCUGAUGACUGGGGUGAAGUCGUAACAAGGUA